Molecule: non-coding RNA, 917 nt
Organism: Sus scrofa (pig)
Lineage: Eukaryota; Metazoa; Chordata; Mammalia; Artiodactyla; Suidae
Source: RefSeq, a predicted model, not a curated record
GGGAUUAAACCUGCAUCCUCAUGGAUACUGGUCAGGUUCUUAACCCGCUGAGCCACAGUGGGAACUCCAGCCCCAUCUUUUUCUUGCUUACCCAGAGCAGAGGUGGAGAGGGAGGAGGCCUCUGGGAGGCUAAGGCACGGAGGAUUCUUUAGGGCAGCUGGGCUUCUUCAGUGCCCAGGUGAAGAGCGCAGACUCCGCCUUUGGACGGCCUGUGUUCAGUUCUAUCCACUGCUGCUCCCCACCCAUGGCAGAAUAGGAGAUGCACCUUCCCCACUGCCCGCCUGGACAAAUCCAUCCUCUUCUGCUGGUCCAGCGCGGCACGGACUUCAUCAGUGUUGCCCAGCAGGGACCUUGCUCGGAGGCUGUCAGAGUGGGUGAGAAAUCUGUGGGCAGAGAGAUGGGUGAUGAAGCAAUGGAUGACUGGACGGGCUUCUCCCAGCUCCAGCCACCACAGGUGUCACCCACAACCCUUCAAAACCCGUCAGCUCUAGAGGUAAGCAAAUAAGCCACCUCCCACACACGUAGGUAGGACCCAUUUCUCUUCCUUAAAGACAACCCCCUCCCCUGUGUUCUCAGGCAGUUAACUGCUGACUGUUGCAGAGGCAGCUCCUGCUCUGCAUUCUUAGAAGCCCCUCUCAGGGCUGGGCAUGCUUCAGUGGGUUUUGAGUGGUGAGGAGUGCUUUUCUCAGAGGCUGCAUUCCACACAGGGCCUAACAAACGGAUAAAAUGAGUCUGCAAUUAGUGGCAUCUCUUCACACACAAAGAAUUAAUGCGCUGAAGGCUGUUUGUUUAUUCUCUUGCACUAGUCAAAUAUGGCCCACAAUCCUGUUUUGAUCAAACCUUGGCUUAGAAAACCUCCUUUUUGUGUUCCAUGGAGAGGACAAAUGCACUAAUACAAAAAAAAAAAAAAAAAAAAA